RNAcentral lists this non-coding RNA (28 nucleotides) under Homo sapiens (human). The record is from RNAcentral. Lineage: Eukaryota; Metazoa; Chordata; Mammalia; Primates; Hominidae.
UUAGGUCAUGUGGUAGUAGGCUACGCCA